RNAcentral lists this transfer RNA (94 nucleotides) under Endomicrobium sp. RNAcentral's name for it is "tRNA-Leu". It matches the Rfam family "tRNA". From Rfam's summary of the family: Transfer RNA (tRNA) molecules are approximately 80 nucleotides in length. Their secondary structure includes four short double-helical elements and three loops (D, anti-codon, and T loops). The record is from RNAcentral. Lineage: Bacteria; Pseudomonadati; Elusimicrobiota; Endomicrobiia; Endomicrobiales; Endomicrobiaceae.
GCUGAGGUGGUGGAAACUGGUAUACACGCAAGCAUCAGAGGCUUGUCAUCUAAUGAAAAAUAAGGUGAUAGGGGUUCAAGUCCCCUCCUCAGCA